GCCUGGGUGGCUCAGUCGGUUAAGCGUCUGACUUCAGCUCAGGUCAUGAUCUCGCAGUCUGUGAGUUCGAGCCCCACGUCGGGCU
RNAcentral lists this transfer RNA (85 nucleotides) under Felis catus (domestic cat). It matches the Rfam family "tRNA". From Rfam's summary of the family: Transfer RNA (tRNA) molecules are approximately 80 nucleotides in length. Their secondary structure includes four short double-helical elements and three loops (D, anti-codon, and T loops). Further hydrogen bonds mediate the characteristic L-shaped molecular structure. tRNAs have two regions of fundamental functional importance: the anti-codon, which is responsible for specific mRNA codon recognition, and the 3' end, to which the tRNAs corresponding amino acid is attached (by aminoacyl-tRNA synthetases). tRNAs cope with the degeneracy of the genetic code in two manners: having more than one tRNA (with a specific anti-codon) for a particular amino acid; and 'wobble' base-pairing, i.e. permitting non-standard base-pairing at the 3rd anti-codon position. Lineage: Eukaryota; Metazoa; Chordata; Mammalia; Carnivora; Felidae. The record is from Rfam by way of RNAcentral. RNAcentral also lists the same sequence under 4 other names.